Molecule: ribosomal RNA, 254 nt
Filed under: uncultured bacterium
Lineage: Bacteria
Description: partial 16S ribosomal RNA
Rfam family: Bacterial small subunit ribosomal RNA
Source: RNAcentral
UACGGGGGGAGCAAGCGUUGUUCGGAUUUACUGGGCGUAAAGGGCGCGUAGGCGGUCAGCACAAGUCAGUUGUGAAAUCUCCGAGCUUAACUCGGAAAGGUCAACUGAUACUGUGCGACUAGAGUGCAGAAGGGGCAACUGGAAUUCUUGGUGUAGCGGUGAAAUGCGUAGAUAUCAAGAGGAACACCUGCGGCGAAGGCGGGUUGCUGGGCUGACACUGACGCUGAAGAACGAAAGCUAGGGGAGCAAACAGG